UACGUAGGGGGCUAGCGUUGUCCGGAAUCAUUGGGCGUAAAGAGCGUGUAGGCGGUCCGGUAAGUCCGCUGUGAAAGUCGGGGGCUCAACCCUCGAAUGCCGGUGGAUACUGUCGGACUAGAGUCCGGAAGAGGCGAGUGGAAUUCCCGGUGUAGCGGUGAAAUGCGCAGAUAUCGGGAGGAACACCAAUGGCGAAGGCAGCUCGCUGGGACGGUACUGACGCUGAGGCGCGAAAGCGUGGGGAGCAAACAGG
This 253-nucleotide ribosomal RNA is filed under the name uncultured bacterium. RNAcentral describes it as "partial 16S ribosomal RNA". It matches the Rfam family "Bacterial small subunit ribosomal RNA", at positions 524 to 776 of the family's 1533-position model. The record is from RNAcentral.